Molecule: long non-coding RNA, 322 nt
Filed under: Salvia miltiorrhiza (redroot sage)
Lineage: Eukaryota; Viridiplantae; Streptophyta; Magnoliopsida; Lamiales; Lamiaceae
Description: long non-coding RNA (SMIL_LNC004202)
Source: RNAcentral
GCAUUGAGAGUAUUGGCCGCUGUCGGCGUCGGCAUCAGCUUUAGCUGAGUUGUGGCUCAGUUUCUUGUGUCGUUGUCUGCGUUGAGAGUAUUGGCCGGCGUCGGCAUCGGCAUCAGCAACAACUUUCUUAGCUGCUCAUAGUCGGGCUGAGGUGAGAAGAGUGGGUCGACAAUGGGGAACGAUAGUGAGGUCUACGAGAGAACAAGCUGUGUUUUAAGAAAAAAGGGGAAGAAGAAGAAGAAGAGGGAUUUGGGGUUGAGAUUUACUCUUUAUUGCAAAUGUGAAGUAAAGAGAGAGAUGAAGGUGUGAGAGAACGCAUAUG